Rhagoletis zephyria (snowberry fruit fly) is the source of this 585-nucleotide long non-coding RNA. RefSeq lists it as uncharacterized. NCBI's taxonomy places the organism in Eukaryota, Metazoa, Arthropoda, Insecta, Diptera, Tephritidae. The record is from RefSeq and is a predicted model, not a curated record.
CAUUUAACGCCGUUAGAGAAGGACGUUCGUACGGUAGAGCGCGGACGUAAUGCUUUUCUGUCGUUCUGUUGAGGGCCAAAAGCAAAAAUCAAAACAAAACAAAAAAUAAAAGCGAAUGCAAAAUAAAUGGAGCCAAAAGUGAAUGCAAAGAAAAACAGCUACAACAACAAUAAUAGCUAUAAUGUGGCAGCAAGCAAAGCGUUUUGCCCCGAUUUUGAGCCUCUUCCAUUUUCUGUGUGAAAGUGAAAUUAAUCAAAAAACAUACCGUACUUAAAAUUUCGAUUAUUAAUUUCCUCGUUGUUUUUGGCGAGCAGUGCGGUUAAUUUGCGAUUUGUUUUAUAUGAUUUUGGAUCCGCGUGAGAUGCUUUGAUUUGUAGUACACUAUCUACCGUAGACUUCUGACGUCGCGCGUGUUGAAAAUUUUGUGUGAGGAAAAAACUAAUCUAACAGCCAAAGGAAAUUGAAUUUUAAUUUAAGGUUGAAAAUAUUAUCAAAAAUAUAUGAACGAACUAUGUAAACGAAAAUAUACAUAGGAAAUAUUACACAUAUCAACGAAACUUUUUAUGAAAAAAUCAGUGUUUAAAA